Molecule: ribosomal RNA, 253 nt
Filed under: uncultured bacterium
Lineage: Bacteria
Description: partial 16S ribosomal RNA
Rfam family: Bacterial small subunit ribosomal RNA
Source: RNAcentral
UACAGAGGGUGCAAGCGUCAAUCGGAGUUACUGGGCGUAAAGGGCGCGUAGGCGGUUAUGUAAGUGAGAUGUGAAAGCCCUGGGCUUAACCUAGGAACUGCAUCUUAUACUGCAUAACUGGAGUACUGUAGAGGGUAGUGGAAUUUCCGGUGUAGCGGUGAAAUGCGUAGAGAUCGGAAGGAACACCAGUGGCGAAGGCGGCUACCUGGACAGAUACUGACGCUGAGGCGCGAGAGCGUGGGGAGCAAACAGG